CACCCAGCAGCUGCCAAAGACGCAGCGCCGG
RNAcentral lists this unclassified non-coding RNA (31 nucleotides) under Cyanidioschyzon merolae strain 10D. RNAcentral's name for it is "intervening sequence". The record is from RNAcentral. Lineage: Eukaryota; Rhodophyta; Bangiophyceae; Cyanidiales; Cyanidiaceae.